UCUCCAAGGAUUGAAUAUUGUUGAAUAGCGAGCGAGCGUGAUCUUCACUGUAGCUAAUAACAACAACCGUAGUCUACAAAACUCUUGAGAGCCUAGAACCACCGCCUAUACAUACAUCAUCGACCCUUGUCGUUUAAGAAGGAGAACAAUUGUGAAAUAUCUCGUAGAGAAAGGUACAAAACACUAUGGAGACCCAGAACAAUCAAACUCCGAAACCGGCCAUGACUUCAUGUAGGAGGAAGGUGAAGGAUGAUGCCACUUUCUUUGAGGACGUGAAAGAUCACAUUGAUGACUUCAUACAUGCCUCAAUGGCUGAACACAAGACCUGUUUCCAAAAAACCAUCAGCAAGAUGUUUGGAUUAUCAAAGCCUGUCGCAGAGAAGCAAGCUGAGGAGGCUAAGGGAGUCGAGAGUCAAUUGCCUCUUCAGACGACAGUGUCCAAGUAAAAGACUAUAAUGUUCUUUUCCAGCUGGGUUUGAAGAUAGUACAAUGUUGUUCGUUUUUCUUGUUUAAGAUCACAUCAGGUUUCUUUGUAAAUCAAAGACUGCUAGUUUAAAACUGCUAGUUUGGUAGUUAGUUGCCGCUUUUGUGUUUCCAAUAUAUAAUUUGCUCGAAGGUAUAAUAAAUCUAAUUGAUCCGAUUCCGCUAA
Molecule: long non-coding RNA, 649 nt
Organism: Camelina sativa (false flax)
Lineage: Eukaryota; Viridiplantae; Streptophyta; Magnoliopsida; Brassicales; Brassicaceae
Source: RefSeq, a predicted model, not a curated record